GACAGGGGUGCCGAGCGUUAGGCGGAAUCACUGGGCUUAAAGCGUGUGUAGGCGGCGGCGUAAGUACCUUGUGAAAUCCCACGGCUCAACCGUGGAACUGCUCGGUAUGCUGCGUCGCUUGAGCCAGCUAGGGGCGACCGGAACAAACGGUGGAGCGGUGAAAUGCGUAGAUAUCGUUUGGAACGCCGAUGGUGAAAACAGGUCGCUGGGGCUGUGCUGACGCUGAGACACGAAAGCCAGGGGAGCGAACGGG
Molecule: ribosomal RNA, 253 nt
Filed under: uncultured bacterium
Lineage: Bacteria
Description: partial 16S ribosomal RNA
Rfam family: Bacterial small subunit ribosomal RNA
Source: RNAcentral